Molecule: ribosomal RNA, 497 nt
Filed under: uncultured bacterium
Lineage: Bacteria
Description: partial 16S ribosomal RNA
Rfam family: Bacterial small subunit ribosomal RNA
Source: RNAcentral
GAUGAACGCUGGCGGCGUGCCUAAUACAUGCCAGUCGAGCGAACAGAUGAGGAGCUUGCUCCUCUGACGUUAGCGGCGGACGGGUGAGUAACACGUGGAUAACCUACCUAUAAGACUGGGAUAACUUCGGGAAACCGGAGCUAAUACCGGAUAAUAUAUUGAACCGCAUGGUUCAAUAGUGAAAGACGGUUUUGCUGUCACUUAUAGAUGGAUCCGCGCCGCAUUAGCUAGUUGGUAAGGUAACGGCUUACCAAGGCAACGAUGCGUAGCCGACCUGAGAGGGUGAUCGGCCACACUGGAACUGAGACACGGUCCAGACUCCUACGGGAGGCAGCAGUAGGGAAUCUUCCGCAAUGGGCGAAAGCCUGACGGAGCAACGCCGCGUGAGUGAUGAAGGUCUUCGGAUCGUAAAACUCUGUUAUUAGGGAAGAAUAAAUGUGUAAGUAACUAUGCACGUCUUGACGGUACCUAAUCAGAAAGCCACGGCUAACUACGUG